CCAAAACCACCAGCCACAGCUUAUCCCUGGCUUCCGGUUUCCUCCAAUUUUCGGGUCCUCUAGUCCCCUCCUCUCUAUAUAAGCAAUCCCCAGCUUGUCAUCUCCACCAUCAAACACCAUUUCCCUUCUCAAUUACAUCUCAACUUUUUCAAAACGUUGUCCAUCUUCUAGCUCUUCAGUUCAAUCGAAAGAAAUAGAAAAAUGAGUUCAACAAGCAAAGCUUGGGCUGUUGCCACUAGUAUUGCAGCUGUGGAGGCUUUGAAAGAUCAAGGAUUUUGCAGAUGGAACUACACAAUAAGAUCACUAUACCAACAUGCCAAGAACCAAGGCAAGUCAUCCUCUCUGCCCAAGAAGCUCUCUUCUCCAGCUUCUACUGUGGUUGCCGGUAAAGUAAGAGAGAAUCAGAAAGCAAGGCAAUCCGACGAGUCACUGAGGCAGGUCAUGUACUUGAGUUGCUGGGGUCCUUACUAGCCAGGCAGUGAACUACCAGCAAGGAACUAUGGCCAUGCAUGCACUGGUUGCAGCAUAGAGACAAUCGAAGUCUUUCCAAGAGAGACUUAUUUGGAGAAACAUGACAAGGCCGACUUCUUAUGACGAUGGACGCUGGAACCCAUCAACGAUUAGUCAGCUUCAUUUGAAUGUUAUGCUCUAGCAAUAUAUGUUUCAAUCAAUUGUAGCCCAAUGAAUUGCUGAAUGAUGGGAGCAAAUUCUUUCCAUUGCUGCAACAACUUGCAAGUGAUGUAAAUUGUAAUUUUUCAGAAUGUAACGGCAUUUAAAUUAAGACUCAAUUGAAUCAGUAAGCUAAUUACAUGAGUGGAUUAAAGUCUUGUUCUCUGCUUUUAGCCCAUAGGGAAUAAUUACUACAACGUCAAAACCUGUGUGCCUUCAUGAAACUUGGACUGUGGCAGAGUGGAUGAACCUCACACGACACUUUCUACUAUAAGUUUAUAUAUUGGGAUUAGGCUGCAGUCAAGUCUUGAGUAACAAAAAUUAAACCGGGUGGGGUUUUUUAUUGUGGCAGUGUGCGACAUCGCGGCGAAAAAUAUAAGUGUUUUUCAUUUUAAAUCGACAAUGUAAAUCUAUAUCUAUUUUAAAUCUACAAUGUAAAUCUAUAUCUAUUUGGCAAAUGGAGAGACAAGAAAUUCUUGUUUUUUGUUGGUGGAAAAUGGAAUGGGAGUCGUCACCUAGUAUUUUGGUCACUAGAAAUUUUAACUGGUCUCAGAGAUCGGGCACGGGGACUGGUUGCGUAAAGAGAAGGUAUUAGCACCCCAAAUACGCCUUACCUAAGAUAAGCUGCAUUAUUUUAUUGUCUGAUAAAAUCUAAGGUCUUUUCGUGUUUUCCUAGUUGUUGGUAUAGUUCAAGAAAAGUCCUCCUCGGUAAGGAGAUCCUUAUCUUAAUGGGUAAUUCUGACGUUAACAAAAGAAUUUAAUAUUCAGAAUAUGUCUUACGUAUAAGAUCGUAACCCCAAAUACUAAGUCCUCCUCGGUAAGGAGAUCCUUAUCUUAAUGGGUAAUUCUGACGUUAACAAAAGAAUUUAAUAUUUGGAAUACGUCUUACGUAUAAGAUCGUAACCCCAAAUACUAAAAGAAAACACAAUAAUUUUUUUGGAAGUUUUGAAAUAUUGGUCUAGUUCUCAUGGCUUGAAUAAACUGGUUAUUAAAGCCAACAUGCAUGUUAAUACAUAUAUUGUUUUGAAGUUUCCUUUGUUGCGUGAAAAUACGAUGUUAUAAUAUUUAUAUAUAUAUAUUGGAGAGACUAGGCCGUAUGCAUUAAAACAAAAACAUUUUUUUUAUAUAUAUAUUUUUGAUGUUUUGACGAAAACCGGGUAUUUUAAUACUUGAUUUGUAUCUUUACGGUAUAAAAAUACAAACCAAUAUUAAACCAUUUUGACAAAAAAAUAUGCAGGAAAAUCAUAGGAUUUUUUAUAAUAUAUUUUUUUGAAAGCAAAACAUUUUUUAUUUUAAAAUUUUUUGAUGUUUUGACGGAAACCGAGUAUUUUAAUACUAGAUUUGUAUCUUUACAGUAUAAAAAUACAAACCAAUAUUAAACCAUUUUGACAAAAAUAUGCAGGAAAAUAAACAAUAUUUUUUUCAAAUAUUUUUUAGAAUAUUUCUUUUUAUUUUAUACACACACAUAAUAUAAAACAAUAUAAUAUAUAAUAUAAUAUAUAAUAUAAUAUAUAAUAUAAUAUAUUAUGUGGGCUGGGCCGACCCAAAUAAAUGGGCCAGGCUCAGCCCAGCAUGGAUUGGGCCAAUCUCGGCCCAUUCAAUCUCUCAUUUUUGUCUGGGCCAGACUGGCCCAGAAUCAAUCUGGCCCAGCGCAAGAAACCCAUCGAGAGGGGAAUUAUUUUUCCCCUCCUAUCAAUUCUACAUGCAGGAGGAAAACGCCACGAGAAAAAAAUGCAGGGAGAAGACUUUACCUGGCGUGGAGGAGGUGGUCGUUGGUGGUGCUGCGAUGGAGGCCGGUGGCGGUGUCGUGGCUCACGGACGGCGGCUCCAAGCGGCGGUGCUGCUGUUUCAAACGGCGGAGGGUGAGGAUACUGCUCUUCCUUUCUCCUCCGUAUGGCUUCCUCUUCUUUCGUUUUUGGUGGUUUCCUCAGUUCGGGUUUGCUAGUUGUUCUUUUUGGUUCGGUUCUUUCCCUCCUUUUCCUAUGUUUUCUCUUUUUUUUUCUUUCGGUUUGUUCCUUCUCUUCCCUCUCUACUGAUCGUUCUCUCUCUUCGGGUUUUCUCCUUUCUUUCCCCUCUCUCUAUUCGAGCCUCUCUUUUCGUUUUCUUUUUUUUCCUCUUUUUUCCUCCCCCUCGCGUGCUGGCGUCCAGUCUUCAUUUAUAUGGGGCAAGGGAGCGGGGGCGUCGCUAUUGCCACCCUAUGGCAGCGCACGGGGAGCAGGGCUUUGCUGCCCUGCCACAGCGCCGGGCUGGCUGGCCAGUGGGCGUGGCUGGUAGGGCGCGGCUCCCUCGACUUUUCAUCAUGAGAGCGCAUGGGGGGGCGGUUUUGGCAGAUGUGGCAUGUCGGGUUCAACGACGAAAGAAGAAAAAAUUGCCUUCCCCUGCUGCACGUCCAGGGGAAGAGAUAGGGAACAGUGUCGUUCAAAACGACACUAUUCUGUUUUUUUUUUUUUUAACAUGAAACGGCGCCAUUUUAGACAAAACGCGCCGUUUCAUUUAAAUCAAAAAGGGGCGCCGAAAGGCGUCAUUGUCCAAGUCAGUCCUUAAUUAUAUUUUGUUCAUUUCAAUUGCAUCCCUUCCAAUUUCGGUCGCCACCCCUAUAUUUGUCCGCGUUUUUCACUUCAAUCCUUGGCCUCUGAUUUAUGCAAUUUGACCCUCAAUUAAUCAAUAAACUUCCAAUUUCUUCAAUUUAGCCCAUGAUUUUGUUAAUUACAACCCCUAUAUUUACACGCCUUUUCCAAUUUGGUCCUUGGUUUCGGAUAUUCUCAAUUCAGUCCCUAAUUGGCCAUUAAAGUUCAAUAUUUAUGCAAUUAAGCCCUUGAUUUGACCAAAUCAAUUCCUAAAAAUUAUAAUUUGACCCCAGAACUUUAAUUUCUUCCAAUUAAAGCCCAAAUUGACAUAAAAAUCAAUUUUUCUUGCAAUCAAAACCUCUAUAAAUUCAAUUAAACUUGCAAUAAAAUCCAAUUAAGUCCAUAAACAUCCAAUUUUGAACUUUUCUCUUCAAAUUGAAUUUUUUUCUUUUCCAACUGGGCUUUCAUCAUUCAAGGAUACACUGUCAAAAUUUCAAUCUUUGUAUUUUUAACCUCCUAUUAUUUUUUUAUUUUUUUAAUUUCUUCCGGCUAUAUAUAUAUAUAUAUAUUUAUUAUUAUUAUUAUUUAUUACUUUUAUUAUUUAUUUUGAUUUUUAUUAUUUUUGUUAUUAUUAUAUUUUUUAUUUAUUUUUAUUUUUAUUUUUAUUUUUGUGUGGGGACCCAAAAAUGGGUUACAACAUCGAUGUUGAAGAUGCACUAUUUACUUUUUCAAAGAGAUGAUUGGAUUAAAAGAAAAAAAAAGAAGAAGGUAAAAUGUAAGGUGAUUUUGAAUUUUAUAUAAAAAGUUUAUCGUGGUUUUUUAUAUAUUUAUUUUUAUAGAUGAUUGGUCCGAAAUUAAAUUUAGAUAUCAAUUUUUUUUUUAGUUUUUUUUUAAGAGGAAAGGACUAUUGGAUUAGUAGAGAGAGAAAAAAUAAUUAUUAACGAUUAUUCUAGCCAUAAAAAAUAAUUAAAAUUGGUGUUAAUAGAUUAUAUUUUUUACAACGAUAUUUAGUUGACGGAUUCGGCGAAAAAACAAACUAUGCGUAGUUUGUUGUCUUCAUUCUCGAGGGUUGGGUUGGAAGGCUUACGUGUUUGUAUUGCUUUUAUUUUUUUUUAUUUUUUGAUAUUUUAUAUUUUAAUUAAAAAAUUAAUAAAAAAUUUAUUAAAUUCAAUCAAAUUCAUGAGGAGUUUCUGCUUCUCAAAAAAAAAAAAAAAAUCAUCUCUUAUUAAUGAUGAUCUAUUUUUUUAACUCCAACUUAAAAUAGUGCAAUUUUAAUUUUACUAUUAUUAUCAAUAAUAUACUUUUGCUAUAUUAGCACCACGUCCCUAUCAUGAUUUUUUUACUUAACAAAAAAUAUUUCAUACAAAAAAAUUAUCAUGUGCUUUAUUGUUUUUAUUGUUAUGUAAUUAAAUGAAAAAUAAUUUUUGGAAUCAAAAAAUUAUUGAAUUUGAUGACUAACAUGAUUUGCUUUGUGAGUUUGACUGGCCGAGUCGAGUUGAUUUAAGUUUUUAAAUUAAAUACUAUUUUUUUAACCGAUUUUGUUCUUCAACAUUGAGUUAAUUUAAGAUUAAGCUUUUAAUUUGUUUUUUUAUUUUAUUUUUCAGAUUAUCCCUACAACUUUUAUAUCACAUCCAUGUUAAUUUAGGUAAAUCAAAUAUUUUUUUUUAUCUUAAUAUUAAAUAAAAAUAUCGUUCAAUUCAUAAUUAAAAUCUAGUUUUUUAGAAGACACAUCACUAAUAUUUAAAUAAUUUUUUUGUUUUUAAUUUAAAAUCUGCUCCAAACCCACGGCAUAGGGCGGUAGUUCAAAGCUCCGUAAAAGGAAUUCACAAGUUAGAGCAAAUAUUUGGAGUAAUUAUUCAUAAUCUUUCGUAAAAUAGGUAAACCAAUUUAUUUUCUGAUCACAGUCCAUGUCGUUUCCAUAUCAACAUUAUGCAUCACGAGUCAUUUUUGCUUUUUUUGAACCCCUUGCAACUAAAGUUAUUAAAUUGGAUAUGCUAAUAACUUAUUUUAAGAUUUGGACUAAACAAGUUAAUUUAAAUUGUUUUUAUUAAUUAAAAUAAUAUUAUUUAAUUUAUUUUUUAAAAUUAAAUUAAGUUUGAAACUAAUUCAAUCAUGUGAUAAUUUGAUCCAUCAUAUAGUUUAACUAAGUUAAUUAUCAUCUACUUUUUUAAAAAAUUAACUUGAUUCAGGUUUAAUAAUAAUUAUCAAAACUUGAGAACUGUUUUUUCCUUAAGUUUUACUUAUUUAUUUAUCUUUUUAGUGAUAUAUAAAUCGUUAAAAAAUAAUAUAAAUUAUAUCCUGGAAUUUUGCCUAACCGAUUAAGCUAUUAAGUUAAGAUGGUUUUUUGAUAUAGUAUCAGAGCGUUGAUGAUCAAGCGGUCACGAGUUCGAAUCUCACCAUCCCUAUUUAUUUAAUAAAAAUCAAACACAAGAUAAUAUGAGUUUGUGCAAGUUUCAAGUCCAAAUGACUUUUAUUUGAGGAGGUGUCAAUUUAAACUAUUAAAUUGAAAUAAUUUUUUUGAAACGGAAGGAUUCACAAUUAUUGUGUUCAUGAUGUGAUCCUAUACUUUUUCCUGUUUUUGAGUAGAUGACUAGAUAAAAUUUAUUUAAAAAAAAAAAUCAAAACGACAUUGUUUUAGUAAAAAAGAAAACAAAAAAAAUAAAAGCCAAUAAGUUUGUGGCCGGGUCUUUACCAGAUCUUUCCAGGUCAGCCGGAUCACACCAAAUUUUUCCUUUCUUUAUUUUUUUUUCAACCCGGUCCGGUUUCGUUCCCGGAUCGACCUACCAGGUCAUCAGGUUUCAAAACUAUGUCGAAGGUUACCACCUUUGGUUUUUUAUCUCUAUUUUUUAAAUGACCAAGUUGUAUUCCAAUAAUUAAAGGGGAAAUAGAGACCACUUGUCUUAUAAAAAAUACCGUUGGCUUUUGCUGGUUUCCUCACUCAAAACCACCACGAAGAAGCCUUGAGCCUCUGGUUUUUCUCCUACAAUUUUGGUACACACUCACCUAUAUAACCAAACCCCUUUACUCCCAUUUACUUCAUCAAAUCAUAACUCCUGAUAUCUUAAUCUCUCCAAAUCCCACUUCAAAGAGUUUCCAGCUCGUUGGUUCUAUAUUACAGUAACACAGAAAAUGAGUUCAGCAAGCAAAGCUUGGUUGGUUGCAGCAGCUGUUGGAGGAGUCGAGGCCUUGAAAGACCAAGGGUUCUGUAGGUGGAACUAUACCUUGAGAUCGCUACACCAACAUGCCAAGAACCAUGUCAGAUCAGCCUCUCAGGCCAAGAAGCUUUCUUCUUCAUCUUCUGCUAUGAUCUCGAAUAAAAUCAAGGAAGUGAAAGCAAAACAGUCUGAGGAAUCUCUAAGAAAAGUCAUGUAUUCGAGCUGUUGGGGUCCUUACUAAGCAAAGAAGCUAGAACAGAUUGAGGAAGUUAUCGUGAUAGGAUUAUCCUGAUUGUUGCAAGUUGAUGUAAAUUGAUUCGUAAAUAUUGUUGCUGACUUCAGGGAAUCAAACCAUAUUACUUUUGGAUUAAUUUUGGCUUACACCAUUUAUUUUAUAAUUUCUGUUUUCCCAUUUCUUUUCUCAGGCCCUCAUGUCGCAAAGUGAUAAGGAUCAUGACAAGGUUAAUUUUAGUGCACCACAGCUAAAAAAAUUAAAUUGAGGGGCAUUUGUCAAAGAUAUUUGAAUCAAUCGGAAUCUCACUAGAAUCUAAAUUAUAGUUUGGUAAAAAUAAAAAUUCAGUUCAAGAAACAUUAGAUUUAGAACUUAAACUGGUUUUUCUAGGACAAAAAUAGAUUAAGAAAUAAUUAUUGGACUUGUUCCCUUUUGGAGCCAAAAGGAAGUUCUUUAUGUCUUUUGCUUUUCGGCAUAAAUGAAGAUCAAUAGGGAUUAUUUUCUUCGAUGUCAAAACUUAUGAAAUUUCAAGAAACUUGGGAAUGGUGCAAAAUGGUUGAACUGGCACAAAAAAUUAACAUUUUCUUGAAUCUCUGAAAGAUGAAUUAGAUCGCAAGAAAUACUUUUUUUGAAGUGAAUAAUGUUUCGUAAUGUAAGGGAAUCAUUUGUCCACUACUCGUAAGAAAAUAAAUUAUUUGGAUAAAUAAUCGGGUUUUUUUUUUUUUUAAGGUUGAUCUUUACCUAACAGUGUAAAUAUUAUCAUUAAUUUUUUUUUUAUGUAUAUUUUAAAGGUUGUGAAGUAAUAUCAUAAUUUAUUAAUCUGUUUUUAGUGGUUAUUUUUCUAAAAUUAGUAUUUUUUUAAUAAAUUUUGACAGAACAAUAUCAUUUGAAAAUAUUUUUGGUUAAAUAAUACAUUUUCACCUGAUCGUAUUUCUGAAGUGUAACAUUUACUAAAUAUCAUUGUUUCUAAAAGUGACUAGGUGAAUUUCCAAUCACCUGGCAGAAGUGCUUGACUAAUUGAAUUUAGUUGUAUGAAUUGGUUUAUUGUUUUAAAAAAAAUUAUAAUUUAAUAAUUUUUUUCUUUCAAAUAUAUUUUAAGAGUUCAAUAUCUUUAUUCAACUUGUAGAUUCAAAAAUAGAAUCCAAUUAAAAUCUCAAAAAGUUAUUAUACACAAAAUGCUUGUCUUCUAUUUUUUAAUAUCAAUGAUGUAGUUGGAUUUGUGAUAAUAAGUGAUUCUAAGUAGUCAGGUGUGACUCUACCAUAACUAAAUGAGAUUUGGCCCAAAUAUAUUACUUGAUGAUCUAACAUAUGUAUUUAUGAACCAAUGAGACAUAUCUAAACUCAGAAAGAAGGUUUAAUCACGCCAAACCAAAAUAACUCUCAAAAGGACCAUAACUUCUGAUUAGAUGCUCAAAUUCUUUAUAGAAGUUCUCGGAGGUUGUUUUCCUUAUAGUAAUCAUUGCGUCGCUAUGCGAACCAUCAAAUUUUUAGAUAUAAAAAAUCUAGCUGAGGCCUCUCAAAUUUAGCAGUUUUAAGAUUUUUUUUGUUAUUUUUAGAAUUAAUCGACCAAUUUCACUAAUCAUUAUGAAUCUUUCAACUAGUUGAUGCAAAUAAUUGAAAUUUUACCUUGUCGUGCUUUAGAAGCACAAUAUUUAUUAAAUAUUGUUAUUCUAAAACGUGAUAAUUAUUUUAUUUCUUUUAAAGAUAACAAUAUUUAAUAAAUAUUGUAUUUUUAAAAUGCAAUAAAGUGAAAAUAUACCAUUUCAUUAAAAAAUUUGUUUCUCUACUAAUUUGCCAAUUAUUUUGAUUUUAUAUACUAUUUUUUCAAUUUAUCCCCCGUGUAACAUGGCUAGUAGUUACAAUGUGCUGGUUCUUUAAUUUUUUUUGUUCUCAAGUGUGAUACAUAACAAUUAAUUUUUUUGCCACGAUUGUUAUUUUGGAAAAAAAAAAAUCGUAUCUUGUGACACAUGCAAUGGAUCUACAAUUAUUAUUGUCUUCAGGAGGUAAUCCUGUCCGUUCCCUGUUUUUGAGUAGAUGCCUAGACAAAUGCUAAAAUGCUAUCCUUCCAGCCCCACUAUUAAAGAAAAACAAGUGGAUUUGCCUCCAAUAAUACUUGAGGCUCAAUUUUGAUUUUUAUAAAGCAAACCGUGUGCCUCUUACCAAAAACAAGUCUCCACUCCAGCUUUGUCGUCAUUGAAUAUGAUAAGAUGCAUGAAAAAGAAAUCCCCCAUUUUUUCUCCAUUUGUAUUUAUUGCCACCAAGUGGUCCUUGAUGGACAUAAAGAUUCAGUCCCAUCCUCAGUCCCAUCGUAGCCUAACUGCACUAAAAUAAUACCACUGGCUUUAACUUGUGCCAAAACCACCAGCCACAGCUUAUCCCUGGCUUCCGGUUUCCUCCAAUUUUCGGGUCCCCUAGUCCCCUCCUCUCUAUAUAAACAAUCCCCAGCCUGUCAUCUACACCAUCAAACACAAUUUCCCUUCUCAAUUACAUCUUAACUUUUUCAAAACAUUGUCCAUCUUCUAGCUGUUCAGUUCAAUCAAAAGAAAUAGAAAAAUGAGUUCAACAAGCAAAGCUUGGGCUGUUGCCACUAGUAUUGCAGCUGUGGAGGCUUUGAAAGAUCCAAGGAUUUUGCAGAUGGAACUACACAAUAAGAUCACUAUACCAACAUGCCAAGAACCAAGGCAAGUCAUCCUCUCUGCCCAAGAAGCUCUCUUCUCCAGUUUCUACUGUGGUUGCAAGUAAAGUAAGAGAGAAUCAGAAAGCAAGGCAAUCCGACGAGUCACUGAGGCAGGUCAUGUACUUGAGUUGCUGGGGUCCUUACUAGCUAGGCAGUAAACUACCAGCAAGGAACUAUGGCCAUGCAUGGACUGGUUGCAGCAUAGAGACAAUCGAAGUCUUUCCAAGAGAGACUCAUUUGGCGAAACAUGACAAGGCCGACUUCUUAUGGCGAUGGACGCUGGAACCCAUCAACGAUUAUUCAGCUUCAUUUGAAUGUUAUGCUCUAGCAAUACAUGUUUCAAUGAAUUGCUGAAUGAAGGGAGCAAAUUGUAAUUUUUCAGAAUGAAACGGCAUUUAAAAUUAGGACUCAAUUGAAUCAGUAAGCAAAUUACAUGAGUGGAUUAAAGUCUUGUUCUCUGCUUUUAGCCCAUAGGGAUUAAUUACUACGACGUCAAAACUUGUGUGCCUUCAUGAAACUUGGACAGUGUCAGAGUGGAUGAACCUAACACGACACUUUCUACUAUAAGUUUAUGUAUUGGGGUUAGGCUGCAGUCAAGUCUUGAGUAACAUGAUGUAAUUAAUUAACAAAAAUCAAACCGCGUGGGGUUUUCAAUGUUGAAGAAGCACAGUUUACUUUUUCGAAAGAGAUGAUUGGAUUUAAAAGGAAAAAAAAAAGGUAAAAUAAAUAAUGAUUUUGAAUUUUAUAUAAAAAGUUUAUCCGGG
RNAcentral lists this long non-coding RNA (10064 nucleotides) under Populus tremula. Its description in RNAcentral is "long non-coding RNA (PTRE_LNC001601)". The record is from RNAcentral. Lineage: Eukaryota; Viridiplantae; Streptophyta; Magnoliopsida; Malpighiales; Salicaceae.